UUUCUUUCCUUCAAGCUCAACAGGCUCCCAGGAUGGUCCUGUGAGCAUUCCCAGCAGCAGUGACAGCAGGGAGGACCCACUCCACAAAGCUCUAAAGAAGAAGAGCAUCAAGUCCUCCACUGGUCGUUUGUUUGGCAAAAAGGAAAAGGGUCCGCCUGGACAAACUGGCAAAGAAUCACCAAGACAAGCUGUUGUUUCUGAAACGGAAAACUCAUCUCAGGAUGCCUUCCAACUUAGCAAACUGGGAGGAAAGGAUGAAAAAAAUCGUCAACUUCAAAAAAACUCAACAGGCUCCCAGGAAGGUCCUGUGAACAAUCCCAGUAGCAGUGACAGCAGGCAGGAUGCGCUCCACAAAGCCCCAAAGAAGAAGAGCAUCAAGUCCUCCAUUGGUCAUUUGUUUGGCAAAAAGGAAAAGGGUCAGCCUGGACAAACUGGCAAAGAAUCACCAAGACAAGGUGGGCCGGUUUUAGGCAGCUGUCCUAACUGCUGGGAUUGGGAGAGCGUGAGAUUUUUCCUAUGUGCCUGCUGCAGGUGUCCAGUGCCCAUGAGGAGUCAUGGCUGAGCAUUCUCCUGACAGCCCAGUUUGCC
Molecule: long non-coding RNA, 588 nt
Organism: Cavia porcellus (domestic guinea pig)
Lineage: Eukaryota; Metazoa; Chordata; Mammalia; Rodentia; Caviidae
Source: Ensembl